Long non-coding RNA from Phragmites australis (common reed), 903 nucleotides. RefSeq lists it as uncharacterized. The transcript is spliced from 3 exons. NCBI's taxonomy places the organism in Eukaryota, Viridiplantae, Streptophyta, Magnoliopsida, Poales, Poaceae. The record is from RefSeq and is a predicted model, not a curated record.
AAGCCGUGUGAGCGCAGAGUACAAGAACGGCGUGGAUUGUUUCCUGGUACAAGCCGCGACGCACAAGUUAAAUACACAGCCUCAAUACAUGUGCUGUCUAUGCGUCGAUUGCGAGAACAAGAAGUAGUUUUUCACCAUCCAGCAGAUACAUUUUUACCAAGAGUAAGUCAGACCCAAUCAUUAAGGAUGUUCCAAGCAUUGCGGACUUCCUAGCUGAAUCAAGAAUAAUAGCAGAGGAACUAGCACGACUUACUAUGGGAGCGGAUAUCCAAAAGUUGGAUGUUACAUGUCCGUUUGAGUUGACCAAACCUUUGGUCAAACCAGAUAUAGAAAGAAACCUUACAACUCAAAUGCGCCGAUUACAUCAGUGGUACUUGGAGCAUUCUAGACGGGAUUUUCAGACGUUCCUCGUAAGAUAUACAGAUGAUUAUUUUCUAAACGGGGAUGGCUCCUUCUGGGUGUAGUUCAAUGACUUGUAUGAAUUGUAUAAGCCAGAUGCCCUCAAUGUGGCUAUAGUCAGAGUGUAGACUCUAAUGAAGAUCCAAGCAUGCGGACAAGACUUAGAUAAGUAAGUAGGAUUCAUCGAUUUUGGGCUUGUGAACCAGAAACUUAUAAGGGAGAAUCCAGACUUCACCGAGGACUAUUUAUUGACGUGUCUGCUUCACCACAAAUACAAAAAAUUCAUACUCUUACCCUACAAUUAUGAUUUUCAUUGGAUCCUCCUUGUCAUCCACCCAGACUUGAGCAAGUUGUCUUGGACUCACAAAAGAGAGAUCAGACGACUUACCAACACCUCAUCAACAUGCUAAACAGGUUAACUCGAUCAUUUAAUCUUCUCGACGAUUGCAUCUAAGUUUAAUUGGUAUACAUAUUCACAUAUAGGGCGUACACAAGAUACAAAAA